This 520-nucleotide ribosomal RNA is filed under the name uncultured Entrophospora. Its description in RNAcentral is "SSU rRNA". It matches the Rfam family "Eukaryotic small subunit ribosomal RNA", at positions 569 to 1084 of the family's 1831-position model. Lineage: Eukaryota; Fungi; Glomeromycota; Glomeromycetes; Entrophosporales; Entrophosporaceae. The record is from RNAcentral.
AGCAGCCGCGGUAAUUCCAGCUCCAAUAGCGUAUAUUAAAGUUGUUGCAGUUAAAAGCUCGUAGUUGAAUUUCGGGAUUGACACAUCGGUCGUGCCUUAAGGGGUAUGAACUGGUGUAGUCAAUUUCUCACCUUCUGGAGAACCGCGAUGCCCUUAAUUGGGUGUCACGGGGAACCAGGACCUUUACUUUGAAAAAAUUUAGAGUGUUUAAAGCAGGCAUUUUGCUUGAAUACAUUAGCAUGGAAUAAUAAAAUAGGACGGCAUGAUUCUAUUUUGUUGGUUUCUAGGAUCACCGUAAUGAUUAAUAGGGAUAGUUGGGGGCAUUAGUAUUCAAUUGUCAGAGGUGAAAUUCUUGGAUUUAUUGAAGACUAACUACUGCGAAAGCAUUUGCCAAGGAUGUUUUCAUUAAUCAAGAACGAAAGUUAGGGGAUCGAAGACGAUCAGAUACCGUCGUAGUCUUAACCAUAAACUAUGCCGACUAGGAAUCAGACGAUGUUAAUUUUUUAAUGACUCGUUUGGC